AUGCAGUCGAACGCGAAAGUUCCCUUCGGGGAGCGAGUAGAGUGGCGCACGGCCCUNUNAACACGUAGGUAAUUUGCCUUUGGGUGGGGAAUACCACCUNGAAACGGUUGUUAAUACCGCAUAAUGCAGCGGCAUCACAUGAUGACAGUUGUUAAAGCGGGGGAUUGGAGCAAUCCGACCUCGCGCCUGAAGAGAAGCCUGCGGCAGAUUAGGUAGUUGGUGAGGUAAUGGCUCACCAAGCCUGCGAUCUGUAACCGGCCUGAGAGGGCGGUCGGUCACACUGACACUGACAUACGGGUCAGACUCCUACGGGAGGCAGCAGUCGGGAAUUUUGGGCAAUGGGCGAAAGCCUGACCCAGCAACGCCGCGUGAAGGAUGAAAUUUUUCGGAAUGUAAACUUCGCAAGAAUGGGAAGAAUAAGUGGGGGACAAUACCCCCCAUGAUGACGGUACCAUUUGUAAGCUCCGGCUAACUUCGUGCCAGCAGCCGCGGUAAUACGAGGGGAAGCGAGCGUUGUUUCGGAAUUUACUGGGCGUNAANGGGCGCGUANGCCGGCUCUACAAGNUCACUUUGUGAAAAUCUCCGGGGCUUUAAACUCNGNAACGGGUCAAGUGAAUACUGUCCGGGGCUAAAANUGCNAAAAGGGGGCCAAUUGGGAAUUC
Molecule: ribosomal RNA, 662 nt
Filed under: uncultured bacterium
Lineage: Bacteria
Description: bacterial SSU rRNA
Rfam family: Bacterial small subunit ribosomal RNA
Source: RNAcentral